Molecule: long non-coding RNA, 1528 nt
Filed under: Lynx canadensis (Canada lynx)
Lineage: Eukaryota; Metazoa; Chordata; Mammalia; Carnivora; Felidae
Description: lncRNA (ENSLCNG00005002888.1)
Source: RNAcentral
UCUCCCAGAGAGGCCGGAAGCCGGAGGCUUCCGCCCUCGGUGGCUACGCCGCUUCCGGCCGGAUGGUGUGGUGGCGGUGAGGCCGGUGCGCUCCCCGAGGGCCGGCCCGGCGGCCCCGGCUGAUGUCCGCAGCGCCCGGGCCUCACGUCUCUCCGGCUGCUGCCGAGGUUUAGGAACGGAGUUCCGAGAUGAAGGCGGCGGCGCCGGGAAGACGCCGGUUUGGGAGCAGGAGGUGCGCCGCCCCGGCAGGCCCGGGAGGGAGCGAGGACGCCCUCUGCCGGUGUCGCCUCCCCUCUGGCGCCGGCUGUGCGAGGCUGCGGCUCCCGGGGCGGCCCUGGAGCGUGUCCUCACGGGCACUCAGACCCGCGCUCGGUGUGGUCGUUUUCUGGUCGUGACCUGAAGUCUCACCCGCGCAUUUGCUUGAACUGGAAGAGCCCAGCGUGCUCGGUUUGCUAUUUUCAUUUCAGUCCGUCUGUCGUCAAGCUUCACGUUCUCUCCGCAUUGCAGGUUUGACGUCAGAAUUCACCGGCAGCGCCCGUUCUCCUUCGGAAUUCGUAUUUCCGUGCUUCACUCGGUGGGUUUCCAGAUGAUGGGUCAGCUUUAACCCCAGUAAAGCCUUCAGCAGCCUUUCGCAUUUGUGUACGUUAAUGACUCGUCUUGCCUCAGGAGUAGCCCGAAAAACACCCCCAAAGCCAGUCUCCCACAUUCUCCAGCCUGUGCCGUAAUACGUGUUGCCUCGGUGACAGCCCGUAGUGGCUGCAGCCUUGGCUCCCGACCCUGAAAGAGCAGGACCGCGCUAGGAGCCAAGAAUGUGUGCUGUGCCGGAAGAACCCCCAACAACCAGGACGCAGCCACUGCUGCUCCUGACUUUGGGCGUUUCUGUUACCUGGGGACGCCUGCACCCUGGGAGGCCUCCGCCCCAACCCUAUAGAGGACCUCUGGCGGCAGUGGCGGAUGUCCCGCCGCCGAGGAGCAGAUCCUGACCAUCCUGCCCGCGGAGCACCAGGCCCGGGUGUUAGAGCAUCAGCCAGAGAGCAGGGAGGAGGCGGCGAUCGCGUGGGGGCUUUGCAGAGAGAGCUCCACGAAACAGGUUGUAGCCAGGACAGGUGGAAUAGGAGUGUGUUCAGAGUUUCCUCACCAGGCAGCACAGAAGCCACCAGCUAUUCUAGGCCAAGAAACAUGUAGACUUCCAGGCCAUUCAUGAACAAGGAGAAAUUUCUCCUACAUUUAUCACCUGUAUGUUGGAAGACUUCUUCACAACUGCCUUCCCUGUAAGUCUCCCCAUGGAGUCUCCUAGAUAUGCAGUGCUUGCUUCAAAGGUGUGAUACCUAUGCAGUCACACAGGGCCCUAGCACUCAGAAGGGUCCUACUUCCGGAAAGUCCUUAGCUUGGUUUCAUGUGCUAUGUUGUCACAGUCUUGAGAUUCUAAAUUUUAUCUUUGAACUCAUGUUCUAUAAGUAAAGCAGAACAAUAAUGCAUACACCUACGCAGAGCGUAUGUCUUGCCUUCCCAUUCGGGUGUAGCGUUG